Molecule: ribosomal RNA, 202 nt
Filed under: uncultured Lactobacillus sp.
Lineage: Bacteria; Bacillati; Bacillota; Bacilli; Lactobacillales; Lactobacillaceae
Description: partial 16S ribosomal RNA
Rfam family: Bacterial small subunit ribosomal RNA
Source: RNAcentral
GCUAAUACCGGAUAAGAAAGACGGAUCGCAUGAUCAGCUUUUAAAAGGCGGCGUAAGCUGUCGCUAUGGGAUGGCCCCGCGGUGCAUUAGCUAGUUGGUAAGGUAAAGGCUUACCAAGGCGAUGAUGCAUAGCCGAGUUGAGAGACUGAUCGGCCACAUUGGGACUGAGACACGGCCCAAACUCCUACGGGAGGCAGCAGCC